RNAcentral lists this ribosomal RNA (738 nucleotides) under Francisella tularensis. Its description in RNAcentral is "partial 23S ribosomal RNA". It matches the Rfam family "Bacterial large subunit ribosomal RNA", at positions 343 to 1076 of the family's 2925-position model. The record is from RNAcentral. Lineage: Bacteria; Pseudomonadati; Pseudomonadota; Gammaproteobacteria; Thiotrichales; Francisellaceae.
UGGGAAGCUUGACGAUAGAGGGUGAUAGUCCCGUAUACGAAAUAAUCACAGUGGAACUAAGCAUACGAACAAGUAGGACGGGGCACGUGGAACCUUGUCUGAAUAUGGGGGGACCAUCCUCCAAGGCUAAAUACUCCUGAAUGACCGAUAGUGAACUAGUACCGUGAGGGAAAGGUGAAAAGAACCCUUAUAAAGGGAGUGAAAUAGAAUCUGAAACCGCUUGCAUACAAGCAGUAGGAGCAUGAUUUAGUCAUGUGACUGCGUACCUUUUGUAUAAUGGGUCAGCGAGUUAUUUUUAGUGGCGAGGAUAACUGAAUAAGGGAUCCGUAGCGAAAGCGAGUUUUAAUAGGGCGACUAGUCGCUAGGAGUAGACCCGAAACCGGCGCGAUCUAUCCAUGGCCAGGUUGAAGAUUAGGUAGUACUAAUUGGAGGACCGAACCCAAUACUGUUGCAAAAGUAUGGGAUGAGCUGUGGAUCGGAGUGAAAGGCUAAUCAAGCACGGAGAUAGCUGGUUCUCCCCGAAAACUAUUUAGGUAGUGCCUCGUGUAUAACUCAUUGGGGUAAAGCACUGUUUCGACAAUGGGGGUUUUACGACCUUACUGACUCGAUGCAAACUCAGAAUACGAUGAAGUUCGAUCACGGGAGACACACUGCGGGUGCUAAGGUCCGCAGUGGAAAGGGAAACAGCCCAGACCGCCAACUAAGGUCCCAAAGUCAUAGCUAAGUGGGAAACGAAGU